UACAGAGGGUGCAAACGUUGAUCGGAAUUACUGGGCGUAAAGCGAGUGUAGGCGGCCUUGUAAGUCGGAUGUGAAAGCCCUGGGCUCAACCCAGGAAGUGCAUUCGAUACUGCGAGGCUUGAGUAUCGGAGAGGUUGGUGGAAUUCUAGGUGUAGAGGUGAAAUUCGUAGAUAUCGAGAGGAACACCGGUGGCGAAGGCGGCCAACUGGACGAAUACUGACGCUGAGACUCGAAAGCGUGGGGAGCAAACAGG
RNAcentral lists this ribosomal RNA (253 nucleotides) under uncultured bacterium. RNAcentral's name for it is "partial 16S ribosomal RNA". It matches the Rfam family "Bacterial small subunit ribosomal RNA", at positions 524 to 776 of the family's 1533-position model. The record is from RNAcentral.